GAUGAACGCUGGCGGCGCGCCUAACACAUGCAAGUCGAACGAUUAAAGCACCUUCGGGUGUGUAUAAAGUGGCGAACGGCUGAGUAACACGUGGGCAACCUGCCCCUUUCAUUGGGAUAGCCACGGGAAACCGUGGAUAAUACCGAAUACUUCGAGACUUCCGCAUGGAAGACUCGAGAAAGCUCCGGCGGAGUGGGAUGGGCCCGCGGCCUGUUAGCUUGUUGGUGGGGUAACGGCCUACCAAGGCAAUGAUGGGUAGCUGGGAUGAGAGACCGACCAGCCAGCUUGGGCCUGCGAGACGGCCCAGACGCCUACGGGAGGCAGCAGGGGGGAAUCUUGCACAAUGGGCGAAAGCCUGAUGCAGCGACGCCGCGUGCGGGAUGAAGGCCUUCGGGUUGUAAACCGCUUUCAGCAGGGACGAGGCGAAAGUGACGGUACCUGCAGAAGAAGCCCCGGCUAACUACGUG
Molecule: ribosomal RNA, 467 nt
Filed under: uncultured bacterium
Lineage: Bacteria
Description: partial 16S ribosomal RNA
Rfam family: Bacterial small subunit ribosomal RNA
Source: RNAcentral